Molecule: long non-coding RNA, 285 nt
Organism: Arabidopsis thaliana (thale cress)
Lineage: Eukaryota; Viridiplantae; Streptophyta; Magnoliopsida; Brassicales; Brassicaceae
Product: other RNA
Exons: 1
Source: RefSeq
UGUCUCGCCCGAUCCGCUUGCUGGCGUGACUGUCCGUUUUGAUGUCACUAUUCUGACCUUUAGCCUACCAACGAUGUGGAGCACAUAAGAAGAGUAUCGUACUAGAGCAAAAGAAAGAUGAUGGUAUUAAUCGUGAAUUUAUAAUAUUGUUGUUACAUGGUGAUGAUUAAUGUCGAUCAAGAGUCCGAAACCCACGUCAAAUUGGCUAAAAAUUACAAAGGCUAUGUAAAGUGCUCAUGUUGUGUUGUCCUACGAAGGCUAAAUUGUUGUCAUCUUUCCUUUGAA